CUUCCGUAGGGUAACCUGCGGAGGGAUCAUUAUUCAUUACAGUAAGCCUAUGGCUUCGGGGGCGAACAAGCCAGGCGCGGUCGACCCUUCGGGGCGUGGCAGCGUCGCGGCUCCCCGAAUCGUUAUGCUUUAGCGGGUGUGUUGCGGCCCUCGAGGCCCCGGACCGGCUCGACAGUGGUCAGCCGGCACGGGAACCAGCUCCGGGAGGUGUAGGGCUCCUCGUGGAGCCCUUUCACGCGCACAUGACUGAAUCCUUAUCUACUCGUACCUCUCGUUCUCCCUCGGCGGGGCGACCUGCCGUGGGAACCGCAAAACGAACCCUUCUUUGCAUCUAGCAUUACCUGUUCCGAUACCCACAAUCGUUACAACUUUCAACAAUGGAUCUCUUGGCUCUGGCAUCGAUGAAGAACGCAGCGAAAUGCGAUAAGUAGUGUGAAUUGCAGAAUUCAGUGAAUCAUCGAAUCUUUGAACGCACAUUGCGCCCCUCGGUAUUCCGUGGGGCAUGCCUGUUCGAGCGUCAUCUACACCCUCAAGCUCUGCUUGGUGUUGGGCGUCUGUCCCGCCUCCUUCGCGCGCGGACUCGCCCCAAAUCCAUUGGCGGCGGCCCUUGCCUCCCUCUCGCGCAGCACAUUGCGCUUCUCGAGGCGCGGCGGACCGCGUCCAGCAAGCAACCGUCACACCGUCUUUGACCUCGGAUCAGGUAGGGAUACCCGCUGAACUUAAGCAUAUCAAUAAGCCGGAGGA
Molecule: ribosomal RNA, 744 nt
Filed under: Didymosphaeriaceae sp.
Lineage: Eukaryota; Fungi; Ascomycota; Dothideomycetes; Pleosporales; Didymosphaeriaceae
Description: partial 18S ribosomal RNA
Rfam family: 5.8S ribosomal RNA (bases 367-520)
Source: RNAcentral